RNAcentral lists this unclassified non-coding RNA (365 nucleotides) under uncultured bacterium. RNAcentral describes it as "contains 16S-23S intergenic spacer region". The record is from RNAcentral.
UCCCUGUUAACCAGGGCAGUCUCCUGUGACAGUCUAACACAGGAUAAGGGUUGCGUUCGUUUGCGGACUUAACCGAACAUCUCACGACACGAACUGACGACAGCCGUGCACCACCUGUCAUCUGGCUCCCUUGCGGGCACUCCCGGCUUUCACCGGGAUUCCAGAGAUGUCAAGCCUUGGUAAGGUUCUUCGCUUACCGUCGAAUUAAACCUCAUGUUCCCCCGCUUGUGCGAGUCCCCGUCAAUUCCUUUGAGUUUUAGCCUUGCGGCCGUACUUCCCAGGCGGCAGACUUCACGCGUUAGCUUCGGCACAGGGAGGGUCGAUACUCCCAAUGCCUAGUCUGCAUCGUUUACGGCGUGGACUAC